CCUACGGGUGGCAGCAGUGAGGAAUAUUGGUCAAUGGGCGGAAGACUGAACCAGCCAAGUCGCGUGCAGGAUGACGGCACUGAGGGUUGUAAACCGCUUUUGUCAGGGAACAAAGAGCGUUACGUGUAGAGGUUUGCAUGUACCGGAUGAAAAAGGAACGGCUAAUUCCGUGCCAGCAGCCGCGGUAAUACGGAGGGUGCGGGCGUUAUCCGGAUUUAUUGGGGUUAAAGGGGGGGGAGGCCGCAUGUCAAGCGCGCUGGUAAAUGUCCGGGCCCAACCCCGGCCCCGCCGUGGAAACUGGCGGGCUUGAGUUGGCGAAAAGUAUGCGGAAUGCGCGGUGUAGCGGUGAAAUGCUUAGAUAUCACGCAGAACCCCGAUUGCGAAGGCAGCAUGCUGCAGCCGAACUGACGCUGAGGCACGAAAGCGCGGGUAUCGAACAGGAUUAGAUACCCGGGUAGUC
RNAcentral lists this ribosomal RNA (460 nucleotides) under uncultured bacterium. Its description in RNAcentral is "partial 16S ribosomal RNA". It matches the Rfam family "Bacterial small subunit ribosomal RNA", at positions 338 to 795 of the family's 1533-position model. The record is from RNAcentral.